UACGAAGGGGGCUAGCGUUGCUCGGAAUCACUGGGCGUAAAGGGCGCGUAGGCGGAUGUUUAAGUCAGAGGUGAAAGCCCAGGGCUCAACCUUGGAACUGCCUUUGAUACUGGGCAUCUUGAGUAUGGGAGAGGUGAGUGGAACUCCGAGUGUAGAGGUGAAAUUCGUAGAUAUUCGGAAGAACACCAGUGGCGAAGGCGACUCACUGGCCCAUUACUGACGCUGAGGCGCGAAAGCGUGGGGAGCAAACAGG
This 253-nucleotide ribosomal RNA is filed under the name uncultured bacterium. RNAcentral describes it as "partial 16S ribosomal RNA". It matches the Rfam family "Bacterial small subunit ribosomal RNA", at positions 524 to 776 of the family's 1533-position model. The record is from RNAcentral.